UCCCUGGUGGCUCAGAGGUUAAAGCCUCUGCCUGCAAUGCGGGAGGCCUGGGUUCGAUCCCUGGGUUGGGAA
Ovis aries (sheep) is the source of this 72-nucleotide transfer RNA. It matches the Rfam family "tRNA". Rfam says of the family: Transfer RNA (tRNA) molecules are approximately 80 nucleotides in length. Their secondary structure includes four short double-helical elements and three loops (D, anti-codon, and T loops). The record is from Rfam. Lineage: Eukaryota; Metazoa; Chordata; Mammalia; Artiodactyla; Bovidae.